Lates calcarifer (barramundi perch) is the source of this 2899-nucleotide long non-coding RNA. RefSeq lists it as uncharacterized. The record is from RefSeq and is a predicted model, not a curated record. NCBI's taxonomy places the organism in Eukaryota, Metazoa, Chordata, Actinopteri, Centropomidae. The transcript has 3 exons.
GAGAGAAGGAGACCAGGGAGAAGAAGGAUGGUGAGGAGGAGAGGAAACAUAGCAGGUUGCCAUGACGAGGAAGCAGGGGAAUAAAACACAAACAAAGGCGGGUGGCACCGGGGUUGUCAGCAGUGAGAGCAGUGACAGCUUCCCUGGCAUGCCUGGCACCCUCUGCUGCAGAAGUCUGGUGGACAGAGAAACUCAGACUCCUCUCCGCCGCUUACAAUGUACAAUAAGUCAUGGUCCACUGGUUGUGACAGGAAGACCACCUGUGGCCAGGCAGACUGUGACCUAAAUGGAGCUUAUGGCAGCUCACAGAUGGGCCUGCCGGAUAAUGUUGGAAAGACAAUAACUGCUGAGGACAAGCCGACAUACUGUGGAGGACCUGGCAAAGGAGAGCUGGCUAUUUGUAAUUGGGGGGGGGGAGACAAAGAUGAUAUAAGAUUUAUUGAACCAACACAGCAGAGCAAAUGAACAACAAAUGAACAGAGCUCAGUGAAGGAUAAAAUAACACAGUGGAGAGGAGGCGUCCACAAGCAGCAGUAAAAGCAGUCCUGUAUCGAUCCGGAGCAGUGAGCCUGCCAGCUACUGCUACCUUCCUCUUUCCAGGAAGACUCUGCACAUACAGGAUAGACCUUAAGGCAUCUCAUUGUACCCUGUUUGUGUGUGUAUGUGUGUGUGUGUGUGUGUGUGUGUGUGUGUAUGCACGAGUUAAAGAAUGUGUGCAUAUUUUGCCCUCAGCCUGUGGUCUCAGAACUCAGGGAGAGUCAGUAGGUCUCUUAGUUUACAAAUAUGCACUACAUAAAUCAAAGGACCAGUCUAUACUGUGUAUUAUAAGAAUGCAGUUUAAGUCACUUUUAAGCAUUUUGUUCAUGAUGAAUAUCCAUCACUGAACAGGACUGCACACUAUUGGUAGAUGUAUAAUCCUGAUUGCAUAUGAAUUAAGUGGAAAUGGGUUGAAAUGUCACAGUGCACAGUGACUCAGUUAACCACCUGGAAUAUAUGACACCACGUCUCCUCUGGUGAAGACAGGACAUCCCUGGCAUGGGGGAACUGGGUCAAGACUGAAAUAUUCAUGGUGUAGACUCUAUCACACACAAACACACACACACACACACACACAAUCACACAUAUUCACACUGGGACAGACCUCAGAACUGGGAGCUGCCAGCCUGUUGCUGGGGUGUAGAACUGAGCUGGGGCAGCUAAGCUUCCUAGUUUGUGUGUGUGUGUGAGAGAGAGAGAGAGAGAGAGAGACUAAGUGUGUGUAUGUGUAAUGUAACCUGUUGUCAGGAGAUAAGGUGACAGCAACUGGGUACACAGAUAUAUCCAUUUCAAGUCUGCUCGCUAAUGUUUGGUCACUAACUCGGCCCAAACCCGACGGAGCCUAAGGUUAUUUACAUGUCUGUGCCAGCAUAGGUCCAUUUUCACGUGUGUAGUGAGGGUUUGGGUUCAGGUUUGAGCCUUUAAUUCAAAUAUUAUCAUUAAACAUCAGAUGUUACCAUUAAACUCGCUCCUGUGGUUUUACUAUUUUGAAAUAUUAGAGGGGAGGAUAACACAUGUCAAAAUAUUAAUAACAUUGUGAAACAUUACCUUCACUACUGAAAUCCUUCAAUAAUAAGUUCCAUUCCAUUCAACAGCACUGAUUCCCUUUCCUUUCCUUUUUUUUUUUUUAAUUUCCUUGGACACCUGCUGUCUUUAACCAAAAGAAAACAUGCCUGUUAAAAAGGUGAACUCUCUGUAGCAUGGAUGUAGACUACUGCUGCUCCAGUGUCCCCGCCUUUGUGAAUGACGCCAUGUCACAGAAAUACUUCCCAUCGUCACUGUGUGGUAUUUUGUCAAAGGCAGACAGUAAUUUAAAAGCAAUUCCCAGGAUGGAGGGACAUGGACAAAUGGUUAAAUAUGAGGUUAAAAAAGUACUUUUUUUUUCUUUUUCUCUUAAUGCAGAAAGAAAAAAAUAAUAUGGAGUAUAAAACAAAAGACUCUGUAAUAUGCUAAAGUGAGCGGUAACUGUCACUACACCACUGCAGCACAUGUUAAUGAGAUUUGAUUACUGUAGAUCUCUGUUUAAACUUUGCCUAUCACUGUAUCCAGAAAAUGUAUGUAUGGUAAGAUCAAAAUUCCUAAAUUUCCUCUAUCUUGUUCUCAUGGAUGUGAAGGGCAUUGACAAAAAGAACGACUGAGGUCAGUUUAACAGUUGUUUUUUUUUUUUUUGUUUUGUUUUUGUCCAGCUACUGUUUAGUAGCUGUUCUGAAGCUUUUCAUCAUAUCAUGUUUGCCUAGUUGUUGUGGUAUUAUAUAUGCUCACAUUUCCAUCUCCAUGAAUAAAACUUUUAGAACAUUAUUAAUGAUAUUGUCAGGUUUUUGUCUUUAAUUAUAUUUAGGUCACUGCUCAUUCUUCUGAGCUAAAAACAACAUAAGUACAUGUUUGUCUAUACUAUCACUAUUGCCUAUACCUAUAAUAAGAAAGUGGGUUUGCAACAAAGUUUGAAUCAACAGCAUCUACUGUAUCAUCACAUCCUUACAUUAUGCAGUAAGAUUUUUAAACAUCUUGUUGUUUCACCUCGCCUGGUGUUCAGUAUGUUCAACACUGUAAACAGAUGUUAUUGCUAUACAGGAAUAAAGUUUGUGCUUCCCAAAUGCCACAGUGGAACAGAAAGAAUCAGACUCAGCACUGUUCCUACCUCUGCUUUACACCCGACAUGCACACAUGCCACACACACACACACACACACAGACACACACAAACAUGCACACACACACACACAUGGUGAACCGAGAACACAGCCCCAGCACAGCGGCACAAACAAACACACUAAAAAUACAAACUACGCAUAUCCAAACACUCUCACUCCUUAAUGAGCUAGCACUUUUAAGAAAAGACUCCGCCACAACUCUAUACCACACAC